This 254-nucleotide ribosomal RNA is filed under the name uncultured bacterium. RNAcentral's name for it is "partial 16S ribosomal RNA". It matches the Rfam family "Bacterial small subunit ribosomal RNA", at positions 524 to 776 of the family's 1533-position model. The record is from RNAcentral.
UACGGGGGGAGCAAGCGUUGUUCGGAUUUACUGGGCGUAAAGGGCGCGUAGGCGGCCACCGCAAGUCAAUUGUGAAAUCUCCGGGCUUAACUCGGAAAGGUCAACUGAUACUGCGGGGCUAGAGUGCGGAAGGGGCAACUGGAAUUCUCGGUGUAGCGGUGAAAUGCGUAGAUAUCGAGAGGAACACCUGCGGCGAAGGCGGGUUGCUGGGCCGACACUGACGCUGAUGCGCGAAAGCCAGGGGAGCAAACGGG